GAGGGAUUCUCCAAUCCCCUUCGUCCGCGCCCGGUGCUCGACCUCGAGAACAAGCAAAAAGGUCAAACCCUAGCCGCCAAACCCUCUCGUCCCGAGCCCCGCACCCCCUCUCCCACGCCGCCGCCCCUCUCCCCGCUCGCCUUGACGGCCUCCUCUCCUCCCCGUGCCGCCGCCCGCCUCCCUUCUCCCUGGAGCAGAGAUGCCUCAGUAGGGCAGCGUCUCCAUGGACGUCAGUAGCAGCAGCGCCUCCAUGGACGCGGCGGCGUGACGGCUCGCCGGGGUGGAUCCCCUCCUCCGGCCCCAUCCUGCACCUCUCCGGCUGCCCAGUUGCAACGCAGCAGCAGCAGGCGACCUGCAGCAGCUCCUUCCUACCUUCCAUGGACGAGCUCGACGGAGACGUUGUCCAGCCCGACCACGGCCACGACUACCUCACGCACAAGUCACGCCUGUCGGGGUGACUAUUGCUUUGCUGCAGCAGAGUUUGCAACGGAUGCUUGCUUCCUGAGGUGAGUGACCACCUAUGCAUCGUGACGGCGGUGGAUGAUGGCAUCACCUACAAAACCCCAAUGUUGAGCUCUCUCUCUGCUCGCUCUGAGCCGUGCCUGUCAAGACAAGGUUAUCUCAUGCUAGGGUUGUUCACUUGCCAUGUACUACUACAAGAAUUGUCGCUGUCCUCUGUUUAUUUUCCCCUUGCUGUACAUGUUAUUAUGGUUUAUUAAGUGCUCGAUUGAUGAUCUGCUAAUCAUGUGAUCACUACUUCAGUUAGUGUUCUAAAUGCUUAACUAACUGCGCCUCAAACGGCAGCUGCUCUUCUCCGCCUUGGACCAGAACCCUGGCAGCUGGAUAAGAGCAGAGGAGCGAGCAGAGCAGAUGGUUCAGCCGGCCUCCUCUCUCUCCCUCCCCUUGCUUUCACUCGCUUUUGGCACCCUCACUGCCAUUGGCUGCAUACCCAAGUUCAUCUCUCCCUUUCUUUGCCCCUGUGUCUCUUAUUUAUUUGAUUUGAUCUGAGAAUGGAAUCACUAGCGAUAUGUAUUUUCGAUUUAGGUCUUCAGAAAGAGUAUGGGAUGUCUGAGCAAGCUUUUUAUCCAUGCAUUUUUUCCUAUUGCAAUAUUUAGUUGAUUUCGCAAUAGAAGAUUUGGACAUAUUCCUUGUAGAUCUAGGCCUGUAAUCCACGUGUUUGUUACUCUUCAACAUUCAGAUCAAGAAGUAUUUAUAUCAACUUUUUCCCAAAUUACACACAAUUUUCAAGUUCUUUCAUUUUCUUUAAGGAGCUCCUUCAGUUUGUAUGCUUGAAUAUCUGAAGUAGUUCUGCAUUCUGACAUGUUCUCCUGCAUCUCUCUUUAUGUUCUACAGAUAAUUGAUGAAAAAACUUUGAUAAAGAAAUACCGGCGUCGUCUCAUUGUCUUCAUCGACAUGAGCAUCUCUGUCAGACCACGCGUCCAUGCCUUCUCAUCUACCUUGCUGGAGUGGCCGCCUCCUCGCUGAUGUAUUGCGCUGCAUCGACCUUCCUCUGCUGCCGCUGCCCGGGUCCCUCCGCUCGCUCCUGCCGAGAAAUUGCAGGCUGAGGUGAGCACCAUGAGGAUGAGGAGGUCAGUGGCUGAUAUAGAGAGCUCCUCGAACGGGGAAGUAGCAGUUUUGGAGAAACUCGAAGAUGUCAUGUUCAGUUUUGAUGGGAAUCGCUACAACAACAAUUAGAAGAGACUGCAUUUCAGGUUCAGAACCAAUUUCUAGGGGUAUGUACAAGUUGUUUUUAUUCCAUCUUGGUUUUAAAUUGGUUUUAGAUUGGUGAAUUAGCAUAGCAUAAUGAAUGUUGAGCUUCAUUUCAUCUACAUUUGGUUCUGAACAUGUGUGCAUUUAAGAAACCUCGUAUUCUUCCCUAUUUUUAAGAUCCUACAAAGAGACUAAAAAAAUGGUGAUAGGCAUGUCCAGAAUGUCGAAAGCUUCAUUUUGGUCCAUUAGAUAGUUUAUAGGUUUGUCACUGGAGGUUGGCUGUCACAUAGGGUUCCUGCUUGUAAAAAUUAUAUACAGCUAUGAAUGCUCCAUAGUUCUUCAUGCAACACAGCUAAUUGCUGAAUCUGCAAUGCAUGCUUAUUUUUUUGCAGAAGCUUAGUGGAUGAAUUAGCAUUGUGUAAAGUCUGUCUAAGCUCCUGUCUCUCUUCUUUCUAUAAACUGGAUGGCCAGGAUAGAUUUCUUAAUAACAUUUUGGGAUUGUUUGAGCACUGGACAAUGUUAACAGGUUUACCAUUUCUCAUUUCUUAAUACCAUUUUGGGAUUGUUUGAGCACUAUACCAAUGUUUUGCUUUCUGCUAAAGUCAAAGAUAUUGUAUCCUUGAACGUUUUUCAAUUAUUGCCAAUACAUGCCAAAUUCUGCAUAUUCCUUAAGGUGACACUGAUUUUGGUUUUACUUCCCAUCUGCAUCCUCUUAUAUCGUAGGCGAGAAAUUUAUUAAAAUAUUGUAUUGGUUCCAAAAUAAUAUUUUCGGUGAAAUAGGGUGAUAAUUUCAGUAUCACUCAAUAUGUAUCAUUGUCUGUAGAAAAUAUAAAGGUACAUGCACUCAUCUGUUUUAUCUGCAUGACCUAAUUGUAAUAGAUGACCAGCGAUUUAAGAUUUGAGCCAUUGUGGCUACUUUUUAUGAUUUUCAAAUGGGUUACAUGCGGAUUGUCGUUUUAUUUAUGAGCACCUUCGUCUUGCUAUCGCCACAAUGGGAAAUUGAUCACGGUGGCAAUAUGCCCUUCUAUGCUGUCUGAUUGACUCUUUUUAUUAGCAUGGAGAAUACCCUUUAGUUCACUAAGAUUAGUGUCUAUUCACAUUAUUCUUAUAUAAAAAAGAUUAUUGUGCUAAAAAAUUGCAUGACAUUUUGGCAAAACAUUGUUUAGUAAAAAGUUAUGUAGAGGUGAAUUUUAGAGGUGAAAUGUUGUGGAUGUUCUGACUGGGAUAUGCUUGGAUUAACUUUAGCGUGACACCUUAUUCAAUAUCUGUGUAUUGGGUUCUACUAAUUGUCAGCGCCUUAAUUUUCUUUCCUCCCAAUGCCAUGUGAUAUUUACUGGACUUCAAAUCACGUGCUUGCAAGUCGUUGUUGUGUCCCACUCCCCCUCCCAUCAUCUUGGCUUGCAGGUCGCCGCCGUGUCUCUAGCCAGUCCAUGACAUGGCUUGAAAUCUAGCUAGGUUGUUGCCAAGUUAACUUAGGAUUGGUAACCUACAAUGUAUUAGUGUAGCAAGCACAUGGGAAGGUGGGAUUACAUUUUAUACUCUUGAAACUAUGUAGAAUUUUGCAUGUACAUUUUUCACUAAAGCAAAAUAGAGAUCCCCUAACUAACAGAUCUAUGUUGGCUAUGAUCGCACCUUUUUACAUUGUCAUAUUUGUAGAUAUACUGUAUGAUGGAGUAUCAACUAGCUGCCUUUGGUCGCACUUAGUAUAAAAGUCUCAUAUAUUGUCGUGUAUGUACGUUCUGCAUCAUACAACAACAUACCAUUAGUGUUUAUUAUACUGUCAUGCCUCUACUUCUCUGUUGUAUACAUAGUUGCUUGUAUAUCUACUUGGAUUGUUUGCUGAACAAUUUCUCUAAUGUACAUCUCUGAAAUUACUAAUAUAUGGAUUUUCAGAUCCAAGAAAGAGAUAGGACCAAGGAAAUUAGGUAAAAACACCAGCAUGUUGUUUGUGGUUCAUGCAUGGUUGUAGUGAAGAUGUGCAUGCAUUGCUGACCAUGGAGCAUUGCAAGGCUUCAGUAUAUGUACCGCAACUCAGAGACUGGACACAGUGCCACUUGCUACAACCACCAUGCAAGUGGUCGAUGCUUUAGUGUUGAACUAUUGAUUAGUCCCUCUUUUUUCUAUAAUCUAUGUGAUGAUGUCCCUUUCCAUGAAAACUUGCUAUGUGGAUUCAAUAGAAAUGAUGUUUUAGACAUGUUUGAUAGUUAUGAAACAAAUGCCAUAGACGAUAGCUAUUACUAUUCUUGAGACGUUUCGAACUGUGAAAAAUAGCAAAUGAACAAUAGGCUAUUAUAGAGAUGUUUUACUGGACUAUUGUUUAUUUGCUAUUCAAUGGUGUCUCCACAA
Triticum urartu is the source of this 4056-nucleotide non-coding RNA. Lineage: Eukaryota; Viridiplantae; Streptophyta; Magnoliopsida; Poales; Poaceae. The record is from RefSeq and is a predicted model, not a curated record.